GACGUAGGGCGCGAGCGUUGUCCGGAUUUAUUGGGCGUAAAGAGCUCGUAGGCGGCUUGUUGCGUCGACUGUGAAAACCCGCGGCUUAACUGCGGGCUUGCAGUUGAUACGGGCAGGCUAGAGUUCGGUAGGGGAGACUGGAAUUCCUGGUGUAGCGGUGAAAUGCGCAGAUAUCAGGAAGAACACCUAUGGCGAAGGCAGCUCUCUGGGACGGUACUGACGCUGAGACGCGAAAGCGUGGGGAGCAAACAGG
Molecule: ribosomal RNA, 253 nt
Filed under: uncultured bacterium
Lineage: Bacteria
Description: partial 16S ribosomal RNA
Rfam family: Bacterial small subunit ribosomal RNA
Source: RNAcentral